UGGGAAUCUUGCACAAUGGGCGAAAGCCUGAUGCAGCAACGCCGCGUGCGGGAAGACAGCCCUAGGGUUGUAAACCGCUUUCAGCAGGGAAGAAACUGACGGUACCUGCAGAAGAAGAUGCGGCCAACUACGUGCCAGCAGCCGCGGUGACACGUAGGCAUCAAGCGUUAUCCGGAUUUAUUGGGCGUAAAGAGCUCGUAGGCGGUUCGGUAAGUCGGGUGUGAAAAUCUCUGGGCUCAACCCAGAGAGGCCACUCGAUACUGCUGUGACUAGAGUGCGGUAGGGGUAGCGGGGAAUUCCUGGUGUAGCGGUGAAAUGCGCAGAUAUCAGGAGGAACACCAGUGGCGAAGGCGCCGCUCUGGGCCGUAACUGACGCUGAGGAGCGAAAGCAUGGGUAGCAAACAGGAUUAGAUA
This 414-nucleotide ribosomal RNA is filed under the name uncultured bacterium. RNAcentral's name for it is "bacterial SSU rRNA". It matches the Rfam family "Bacterial small subunit ribosomal RNA", at positions 356 to 784 of the family's 1533-position model. The record is from RNAcentral.